Non-coding RNA from Danio rerio (zebrafish), 323 nucleotides. The record is from RefSeq and is a predicted model, not a curated record. Lineage: Eukaryota; Metazoa; Chordata; Actinopteri; Cypriniformes; Danionidae.
CUACCCUGAUUGUGCUCAUAGAAAGAAAAUAUACACAUCAGAUGAUGAGCCUUGCGAUACUCCCCACAAAAAAAAGAAACUAAAUAAAGAAAAAAGUCUACCAACACCAAGGGUCCCACCUGCACCAAAAGUUCCAACACCCCCAAAACAUAUCAGGGCAAAAGCAUUUGUCCGUGACCACCAAAAAGCUACAGAAAAGCAACAGCAGGCCUGUUUUGAAACUCCCUCCACUAGUCAAGUUUCAGCUCCAGACGUACCUGUGAGGUUCUGCCAGGAAGUGGAGCACCAAGACACUUGGGAUAAACCCCAACCUGAAAAUCAAG